Molecule: ribosomal RNA, 434 nt
Filed under: uncultured Lachnospiraceae bacterium
Lineage: Bacteria; Bacillati; Bacillota; Clostridia; Lachnospirales; Lachnospiraceae
Description: partial 16S ribosomal RNA
Rfam family: Bacterial small subunit ribosomal RNA
Source: RNAcentral
ACGGGAGGCAGCAGUGGGGAAUAUUGGACAAUGGGGGCAACCCUGAUCCAGCGAUGCCGCGUGAGUGAAGAAGGAUCUCGGUAUGUAAAGCUAUUUAAGCAGGGAAGACAAUGACGGUACCUGCAGAAUAAGCCCCGGCUAUAUACGUGCAAGCAGCCGCGGUAAUACGUAGGGGGCAAGCGUUAUCCGGAUUUACUGGGUGUAAAGGGAGCGUAGACGGCAAUACAAGUCUGAAGUGAAAGCACGCGGCUCAACUGCUGAACUGCUUUGGAAACUGUAUAGCUAGAGUGUCGGAGAGGUGAGUGGAAUUCCCAGUGUAGCGGUGAAAUGCGUAGAUAUUGGGAGGAACACCGGAGGCGAAGGCGGCUCACUGGACGAUAACUGACGUUGAGGCUCGAAAGCGUGGGGAGCAAACAGGAUUAGAUACCCUGGUA